GAUGAACGCUGGCGGCGUGCCUAAUACAUGCAAGUCGAGCGAACGGACGAGAAGCUUGCUUUUCUGAUGUUAGCGGCGGACGGGUGAGUAACACGUGGAUAACCUACCUAUAAGACUGGGAUAACUUCGGGAAACCGGAGCUAAUACCGGAUAAUAUUUUGAACCGCAUGGUUCAAAAGUGAAAGACGGUCUUGCUGUCACUUAUAGAUGGAUCCGCGCUGCAUUAGCUAGUUGGUAAGGUAACGGCUUACCAAGGCAACGAUGCAUAGCCGACCUGAGAGGGUGAUCGGCCACACUGGAACUGAGACACGGUCCAGACUCCUACGGGAGGCAGCAGUAGGGAAUCUUCCGCAAUGGGCGAAAGCCUGACGGAGCAACGCCGCGUGAGUGAUGAAGGUCUUCGGAUCGUAAAACUCUGUUAUUAGGGAAGAACAUAUGUGUAAGUAACUGUGCACAUCUCGACGGUACCUAAUCAGAAAGCCACGGCUAACUACGUGCCAGCAGCCGCGGUAAUACGUAGGUGGCAAGCGUUAUCCGGAAUUAUUGGGCGUAAAGCGCGCGUAGGCGGUUUUUUAAGUCUGAUGUGAAAGCCCACGGCUCAACCGUGGAGGGUCAUUGGAAACUGGAAAACUUGAGUGCAGAAGAGGAAAGUGGAAUUCCAUGUGUAGCGGUGAAAUGCGCAGAGAUGUGGAGGAACACCAGUGGCGAAGGCGACUUUCUGGUCUGUAACUGACGCUGAUGUGCGAAAGCGUGGGGAUCAAACAGGAUUAGAUACCCUGGUAGUCCACGCCGUAAACGAUGAGUGCUAAGUGUUAGGGGGUUUCCGCCCCUUAGUGCUGCAGCUAACGCAUUAAGCACUCCGCCUGGGGAGUACGACCGCAAGGUUGAAACUCAAAGGAAUUGACGGGGGCCCGCACAAGCGGUGGAGCAUGUGGUUUAAUUCGAAGCAACGCGAAGAACCUUACCAAAUCUUGACAUCCUUUGACAACUCUAGAGAUAGAGCCUUCCCCUUCGGGGGACAAAGUGACAGGUGGUGCAUGGUUGUCGUCAGCUCGUGUCGUGAGAUGUUGGGUUAAGUCCCGCAACGAGCGCAACCCUUAAGCUUAGUUGCCAUCAUUAAGUUGGGCACUCUAAGUUGACUGCCGGUGACAAACCGGAGGAAGGUGGGGAUGACGUCAAAUCAUCAUGCCCCUUAUGAUUUGGGCUACACACGUGCUACAAUGGACAAUACAAAGGGCAGCGAAACCGCGAGGUCAAGCAAAUCCCAUAAAGUUGUUCUCAGUUCGGAUUGUAGUCUGCAACUCGACUACAUGAAGCUGGAAUCGCUAGUAAUCGUAGAUCAGCAUGCUACGGUGAAUACGUUCCCGGGUCU
Molecule: ribosomal RNA, 1372 nt
Filed under: uncultured bacterium
Lineage: Bacteria
Description: bacterial SSU rRNA
Rfam family: Bacterial small subunit ribosomal RNA
Source: RNAcentral